GAGCUGGGUCCUUCUUGAAAAUGCUGUCAUGACCUGGCUCAUGAGCCGCAACAUAAAUUUGAGCCAGACCACAGAGUGUACAAAAACGGGUUUAUUUCAAUAAAACAAAAAUAGGGGAUAAAAUAGUGAAAAAAAGCUGAGUGUGCAGCAGCAUCAAACGGCCAACAGCUUACUUUUACUUUUCAUGACAUCACAUGUGUUACUGUCCAUAUAUUGCAAAUACAUGUAUAUGUGUCUAAUUAAUAUUUUAAUAUUUGUAUUCAUUUCUAGCAAAAGCAUAUUUGAAAUUGUGUAUAUGUUUGUCAGACAAUCUAUACAACCUACCCAAGAACACAAAACAACAAUAAUAAUUGUAUUAUUAUUGCUUAUAUGCUCAUUUCAGCCAUACUAGAAUGUUAUUGAAAUGCAUGAUGCAUUGUAAAUCAAUAUGCAUGGAUUUGGGGACAUUUUAAAUUGAGUUUAAUAAAAGUAUAACAGAUAUAGAUCCAGGGAUGUUGUUAACAUAAAACUAAUUUCUAACAUCACACUAACUUCAGGAUUGUCGUCAGUCCAUCACACACCUGACAUCAAGCGAAUGGGACAUGAAGCAGUGGCAGUGGUUGAGACAGAGUGUGCAUAACCUUAUACCACCAUUAGGAGGCCAAAAGAAGCAGAAAUAAAUUGCAGUUAAACAUCAAGGUGUAACUUCUGCUCAAUGUAUACGGUAAAUGAUAAAGAAUGCAGCAUUGUGGAAAAAGGCAGUAAAUUGCUGAAUCAUACGAAACUGGGACUGAUGUGUGACCUCAUGGACAGUGAGAUCUGAGCUACAUCUGAAUCUCUUCCCACAAGUAGUACACUGAUACAGCUAUUCCCCGGUAUGGAUCCUCUGGUGUCUCUUGAGAUGAGAAAUUCGAGUAAAAGUCUUUUCACGGUGAGAACAGUGGUGUGGCUUUCCAGUAUGUAUGAACUGAUGUACAGUAAGCACUAUGUUACUCCUGAAAAUAAACUAAAACUCUUCCAACAUGUACUACAAUGGUAUGGCUUUUCUCCAGUAUGGAUCCUCUGGUGUGUAUUGAGUUGAGACAUAUAACUAAAACUCUUUCCACAUUGAGAGCAUGAUGGGGCUUCUCUCCUGUGUAUGUUAGUUGAUGAAUUGCAAGAGCGUAAAGGUGCAGGAAAGGUUUUGAAACACAGGGAGCAUUCAUGUUUUUUCUUCCUCGUGUUCGAUUGCUGAUGUCUUAUGACUUUCUUUCUUCUUUCCCCUGUACUCCUUUUGCUAGAAUCGUUCUUUUGAAUGUCUCUUAUAACAUUAGAAAAUAUUUUUUUAUAAUAAUAUCCUCUCUCUUCUCAAUUUGUUAUAUACAACACUGAAAACAAUGUAUUUUUGAUUGAUUGGCUAUUUGCUAGAAUAGUAUAUUACUUGGAAGACCCUUAGGCUUAAAGUGAACACCUAGAGACUGCACUGUAAAUGUAAGCAGAGAUUCAGGCACAUGAGUUAGAGAUCUGGAGACAAAUUGAUGGCAGGCAUUUUAAAUAUCUUAUAGUUUUUCUUGAUUGUUUUGUUUUUCAAAACACUACACACAAUUAGCACAACCACACACACAAUUAGCCAAACACCUCAGGUCCUUUGCAAAAUGAAACACUCUUGUAAAAACUAUACACUAAUUUAUCAAAACUAUAUUUUGUUACCAUAUUAAACACACAAGUUGCAUAUGACUUCAUUCUGUUUGUACCAGUUACACACUGCUGUUGCAAACCUAAAACACUUUUAGCAAUUCUACUUCUAAGUUAUUAGAGUAGUGUAAGUGAAGUACACUAUUCACCAAACACUACACAAGACCAAUGCUGCAGACUGAUGAAAAUAUAAUUAAUUUCUCUCCAUAUACCCAAAUCAGUCAUCAUGGUUACAUAGAGAAUCACAACAAAACAUGUCCCACUUUUCAUGCUACUACAGUAGUGUGCGAAACACUGUAAGCUCAGCAAAUAUCAGACAAGCGUAAAAUUCUGUAUCCAGUACAGGUUACAAUUACAGUAAAAAAAAGAGGAAAGAAAAUCUGAAAAUACAGUACAGAUAGAAGUUGUUUCAUUUGAACCUGAUGUCUUUUCAGGAUGCUUGCCAGUGUUGACUGAGAGACCUGAUGGACAUUAGUGAAAAUGGCAUGGUUACCGAUAAUGUUGGCUUGAAUUUCUCUGAGCCUGAUAGCAUGCUUGGCCAAAACCAUAUUUAUGAUCUCUCUCUCUCUUGUUCUUUCGUGGAUAUGGCCCCCUUCCUCCUUUCAAAUUAAGUUGAUAAAUUUGGUCCUCUUCUUCUUUGAGCACGUUACCCUCCUGCUUCAGGUCUUCCUCUUCCUCUACCUCCACCUCGGCCUAGGCAUCUGGCAAAUCUGGGCCGAUGUUUUGCUCCUUGACUGUAAGGUUUUGAUACUUGUGUAAUAUUUUAGAUUUUAGUGUUUAUGCAACUGACUGUAACAGUGUGAAGAGUUUGAAAAGAUGAGCGGUAGAGGAAAAGGAGGUAAAGGUCAGGGAGGCGCCAACCGCCAUCGCAAGGUUCUUCGUGAUUACAUCCAGGGCAUCACCAAGCCCGCUAUCCACCAAGCCCAUUAAACCCCCACUCAACCCAAAGGCUCUUUUAAGAGCCACUCAAGUUUCCGCUGAAAAGUUAAUUCCUCCUCAGCUGGAGCUUUAAUUUUUCCCCUCAUUUAAAUGUCCUUUAUACCAAGUUGUAUUGGUCAUUCACCAGCAGGGGGCCAUGCCAGUUCCCUUUGAAGGGACCACUCUCAGGCCUAGUGCCAUCUUUCUCCAACCAGGUGCAGUCUCGUAUUGGCCUGUUACCAGAAUACGAUGUCUAGUGGUUUUAAAGUGUUUGUAAUUGUUAUUCAAAGACUUGUUUUUGAUGUAUUGACUGAUACAAUUGGACUUGUAUCAGAGUAUUGCUUAUCAUCUACAGUUCCAGCCAUAAUCACUAUUAUUGAGCUUCAGUCAAGCAUACUGAUACUGAAAAGCUAACUACACUAUGAUACCAAUCUGGACUGAACAAAAGUAAGUACAAAAUAGUGGUCCAUUUAACCGUUGACUUGGAAUGAAAUGAAACCGUUGUCCUCAUUUGUAUGCAUUCUGCUGAUUGCUGUAGAUCAAAGACUCCUCCUCAGACCAGGGAGCAACCAAUAGCACAGUUUACACAUUUUCCUAAUUUUCUGAAGAGAUUCAUUUGAAUUUGUCAUCUGGAGAUAAUCUGCAGUUGUUUCAUAAAGUGCAGCACUGUGUACAAUAGCACAUGAAGGAUAUCACUGACUGGACAGUUUUGGAGAUUGAUUUGUCAAAUUAUGCAAGAAAUGUUUAAACAAUUGAGAAUACAAGGCAUAUUCACCUAAAAAAAGUGUAGCUACCUCACUUUAUGUUUUCCAUGCCAAGUUCCCAAUCACUGGAUAUAUGUUAUGUGUAUAUAGGCCAUCAACUCAGAAUAAACUAUAGAUCAUAUUUACGGCAUAUGAACAUACUGCAUACAAAAAGUGUUCUAACAAUUAGCAUGUCAUGUUCUCCAUAUUAAGUUCCCAUCACUAGAACUGUGUGGUGGGAAUACAGGACAUCGGCUCAGUAUGUACCUCAUGCAUCACAUUCCCACCACGCAGUACAUACUAAUUUCCCAAAAAGUGCACCAACAGUGAGAACGUACUUACCGGGCAUCAGUAGUAGUGAGAACGGAAAAGUUCACUGUGGCGUACUCCACAUCAUCUUCGAUCGCACAGCCUUGCGGCGUCCCAUCCUGUGUUGUGCUGUGGGUAAACCAAACAGUGGCGUACUGGACGUCAUCGCCAUCUCCUGCGUCUGCGCCAGAGGCUGUGCCAGGGGCUGUGGGCAUUGCUGAAAUGUUGCAGUAAAUGGGACCGG
Clupea harengus (Atlantic herring) is the source of this 3867-nucleotide long non-coding RNA. Lineage: Eukaryota; Metazoa; Chordata; Actinopteri; Clupeiformes; Clupeidae. The record is from Ensembl.